GGGGUAUAGCUCAGGGUUAGAGCAUAAGACUGCAGACCGAGAGGCCACCAGUUUGAUUCCAGAUGCCCCCU
Molecule: transfer RNA, 71 nt
Filed under: Homo sapiens (human)
Lineage: Eukaryota; Metazoa; Chordata; Mammalia; Primates; Hominidae
Description: tRNA-pseudo Likely pseudogene
Source: RNAcentral